GUUUCCUUUUUUAGCUCACCUGUCACAAAGUGACAAGGUGAGCUUUUGUGAUCGCGCGGUGUCCGUCGUCCGUCGUCCGUCCGUGCGUCCGUGCGUCCGUGCGUCCGUGCGUCCGUAAACUUUUGCUUGUGACCACUCUAGAGGUCACAUUUUUCAUGGGAUCUUUAUGAAAAUUGGUCAGAAUGUUCAUCUUGAUGAUAUCUAGGUCAAGUUCGAAACUGGGUCACGUGCCAUCAAAAAACUAGGUCAGUAGGUCUAAAAAUAGAAAAACCUUGUGACCUCUCUAGAGGCCAUAUAUUUCACAAGAUCUUCAUGAAAAUUGGUCAGAAUGUUCACCUUGAUGAUAUCUAGGUCAAGUUCGAAACUGGGUCACGUGGGGUCAAAAACUAGGUCAGUAGGUCUAAAAAUAGAAAAACCUUGUGACUCUCUAGAGGCCAUAUUUUUCAUGAGAUCUUCAUGAGUAUUGGUCAGAAUGUUUAUCUUGAUGAUAUCUAGGUCAAGUUCGAAACUGGGUCACGUAGGGUCAAAAACUAGGUCAUUAGGUCUAAAAAUAGAAAAACCUUGUGACCUCUCUAGAGGCCAUAUUUCUCAAUGCAUCGUCAUGAAAAUUGGUCAGAAUGUUCAUCUUGAUGAUAUCUAGGUCAAGUUCGAAACUGGGUCACGUGGGGUUAAAAACUAGGUCAGUAGAUCUAAAAAUAGAAAAACCUUGUGACCUCUCUAGAGGCCAUAUUUUUCAUGAGAUCUUCAUGAAUAUUGGUCAGAAUGUUCACCUUGAUGAUAUCUAGGUCAAGUUCGAAACUGGGUCAUGUGGGAUCAAAAACUAGGUCAGUAGAUCUAAAAAUAGAAAAACCUUGUGACCUCUCUAGUGGCCAUAUUUCUCAAUGGAUCUUCAUGAAAAUUGGUCAGAAUGUUCACCUUGAUGAUAUCUAGGUCAAGUUCGAAACUGGGUCAUGUGCGGUAAAAAACUAGGUCAGUAGGUCUAAAAAUAGGAAAACCUUGUGACCUCUCUAGAGGCGAUAUUUUUCAAUGGAUCUUCAUGAAAAUUGGUCAGAAUGUUUACCUUGAAUAUAUCUAGGUCAAGUUCGAAACUGGGUCACGUGGGGUUAAAAACUAGGUCAGUAGAUCUAAAAAAUAGAAAAACCUUGUGACCUCUCUAGAGGCCAUAUUUUUUCAUGAGAUCUUCAUGAAUAUUGGUCAGAAUGUUCAUCUUGAUGAUAUCUAGGUCAGAUUCGAAACUGGGUCACGUGGGGUCAAAAACUAGGUCAGUAGGUCUAAAAUAGAAAAAACCUUGUGACCUCUCUAGAGGCCAUAUUUAUCAAUGGAUCUUCAUGAAAAUUGGUGAGAAUGUUCAGCUUGAUGAUAUCUAGGUCAGGUUCAUAACUGGGUCAUGUGCGGUCAAAAACUAGGUCAGUAGGUCGAAAAAUAGAAAAACCUUGUGACCCCUCUAGAGGCCAUAUUUUUCACGAGAUCUUCAUGAAAAUUGGUGAGAAUGUUCACCUUGAUGAUAUCUAGGUCAAGUUUAAAAGUGGGUCACGUGCCUUCAAAAACUAGGUCAUUAGGUCAAAUAAUAGAAGAACCUUGUGACCUCUCUAGAGGCCAUAUUUUUCAAUGGAUCUUCAUGAAAAUUGGUCAGAAUUUUUUAUCUUGAUGAUAUCUAGGUCACAUGUGCUCAAAAACUAGGUCACUAUGUCAAAUAAUAGAAAUAACGAUGUCAUACUCAGUUGAACACUGGGUCAUGUGGAGAUAGGUGAGCGAUUCAGGACCAUCAUGGUCCUCUUGUAUAAACUUUGUGCUUGUGCAUUUAGUAAAGAGUGCUACAUAUAAUUGGAGUUUAAGAUGUCCUAAUUGAGAUGAAGAGGAAUCUUGUAAAGUUUCAUUAAUGAUAGUUUUUUUUUUUUUUUUUUACAUAUAAUUAUAUUUAUACAGGGUACAUGUUAAUUUGACCAUUAAAGUACAUGUUUCGAAAUAUCAUUUUUGCUAAAGAAGGUAAAGCUUUGAUUUAAAAAUUAAUUGAAAUUUGAUCAUUUUUGUGAUCCAUAAAGAAAACUAUUUAAGUUAAAAAAGGAACUAAAAGCUAUUGAAACUGGUAACUGUGCAUUUCAGGCACUUUCUCGUUUUCUUAGGAGAUUGGGGGAAGAUAAUGAAAUAAACUGUAACAUAGUAUUAUCUUAUGUAUAUAAACAAAACCUGGUAUUUAUAUCAUUUCAUUCAUUAUAAACAUGUAUUCAUAUUUUACCCAUUUGUAUGUUACUAUGAAUUCAUCGCUAACCAUGAGGUCAUUGUUGUCUGUAUCUAUAUAUAAUCUGUAUUUUAUCUUGAGACAAAAAUGCGUGUCCACAGUGUUGAGAGAGGACAAGUUUACUUACUGGUACUAAGAUUUUUACCAAUUUUAUUUCAUCUCUCAUUUAAGCUAUAUUCCAGCAUAAAACUACUGCUGUUUUCUUUUUUCAAGGGAUGUUUUUAACAUGAAAGUAAAUGUGUGUCAACAAGGCAAUCACAGUGGUGUACAAUACCUUUUUAUGUAUGCACCUUCUGUGGUAAAAUAUUAAAACAUAUGAAAUAAGUUUGAGAGGAAAUUAACAUUUUUACAUGUUUUUUUUUUUUUACAAGAAUGGUGUUAAAACGCAUGAUUGCUUCCACAUAUUUAUAACACACAAAAAAAAACAUGCAUUAUCUGUACAUAAACAUACCGGAUUAUGGAUGAAGUAACUUUUGUUUUGCAUAAUAAAGAAAGACGUGCAGGUAACAAGUAAUAAUUUAAUUGUUUUUUAGUGCACAACAUUGGAAAUGAAAAAGUAUUUGUUCUUGGGACUUACUAGAUCUAGUGUGAGAAAAAGAAAAUAUUCCUAUAGUUUAUCCUGAUAUUACAAGUUUUUUAGACAAUAUUUGUCAGUAUUUACAUUCACCAUGUAUUUUGUAUGGAAAAAUAAAAGAAUUCAUUUUUGUAUAAACAACAAUGGUGUAAUGAAUCAAGGAUGACUCUUUUCGUGAGAUUGCACACACAAUCUGACGUCAUUCACAAAAGACAUCGUACAAAAAAUUAUUUCAAAAUUGGGCACCAAAAUUUCAAAAAGAAUACUAAAUUGUAGCUAAAACUAUGGUAAGUUUUUUGAUGGUACAAGAUCAGAAUUGAACCAAUUUUUAUCUGAAAGUGAAUUGCAAUGGAACAUUGGUGGAUCUUUUUGGCUGUUCUGUUUACAUGUUGAAAAGAUCGAUAUCCUGAUAUUUAUUUUGAUUUUCUGAUACUCGUGCAAAGUAAACCAUUAGUUUUGUAGCAAGCAACAGUGAAAAUGUAAAUAUAAGAGUUGAACAUUGUUUUUGUGUGUUUAAAUGGGUAUAAACCACAGUGGGACUUUAUGCAAAUCAUCCAAGAAUCACUAGUAUGAUUCAUGGACUUGCAAAAGUCCCAGUGUGGUUAAUACUCAUAUAAGCGAACAAAAAAAUAGUAUUAAAUUCAUAAACAAUAAUUUGACCCACCUAACAUUAAUAGAAACAUCUGUCUUCAUGCUUCAUUCCUAGUUUUGAUAUUGGACAUAGAUUUUCAUUUCUUACCCAGGUUUACGUUUUGUUUUCCUUAACUAAAUUCAUAAUUUUUUCUUUUUUCGGGCUAGACCCAAGUAUUGUAUUUGGGAAAGACACUGAUGAGCUAAAGUCAGAAUAUUUUGUACUGUAAAAUUGUAAAUACACUGACCUAGAUUUUUGCAGUGAAUCCUCAUUUCUUAGACUAAAGCUAUGUGCAAUAUGUAUUUAAUCACAGUUAAUUAAUCAUACCACUGUAAGCUCAUUAUACAAGGCUUCCGUACAAACUGAUCGUGUAAAAAUCUGCUUGAUGACAUGUCGUAUUCUUUUAUCGAUGUUGUUUUGAUAUUGUGGUUUUCUGUAAACAUGUUAUCAGCAUAACACUGUCAUUUCAAAACCUUACUACAUAGAUACGCUUGUGUAUGGCAUUCAUUACAGAUGCGUUUGUGUAUGGCAUUCAUUCAUUCAUUCAUUUACUGUAAACUUUUUAUACAUUUAAUAAAAUUGGAGAAUUUGAAA
Mercenaria mercenaria is the source of this 4038-nucleotide long non-coding RNA. RefSeq lists it as uncharacterized. NCBI's taxonomy places the organism in Eukaryota, Metazoa, Mollusca, Bivalvia, Venerida, Veneridae. The record is from RefSeq and is a predicted model, not a curated record. The transcript has 2 exons.